AACCGGGAGAGGUAAGAGGUACUACAGGGUAGGAGUGAAAUCUUGUAAUCCCUGUGGGACCACCUGUGGCGAAGGCGUCUUACCAGAACGGGUUCGACGGUGAGGGACGAAAGCUGGGGGCACGAACCGGAUUAGAUACCCGGGUAGUCCCAGCCGUAAACGAUGCUCGCUAGGUGUCAGGCAUGGCGCGACCGUGUCUGGUGCCGCAGGGAAGCCGUGAAGCGAGCCACCUGGGAAGUACGGCCGCAAGGCUGAAACUUAAAGGAAUUGGCGGGGGAGCACAACAACGGGUGGAGCCCUGCGGUUUAAUUGGACUCAACGCCGGACAACUCACCGGGGGCGACAGCAAUAUGUAGGCCAAGCUGAAGACUUUGCCUGAAUCGCUGAGAGUAGAGGUGCAUGG
Molecule: ribosomal RNA, 403 nt
Filed under: uncultured archaeon
Lineage: Archaea
Description: bacterial SSU rRNA
Rfam family: Archaeal small subunit ribosomal RNA
Source: RNAcentral